AUUUAUAAUCAUCACAAUUCUCAUUGCUUAUGCUAUGUGGCAAGCACUAUGCUACAUGCUUUAUGGAUGUUAUCUUCAAAUGAAUUCUGUGACAUAGGGUUGCAAUCUUUAUUUUGCAGUGGGGGAUCCUGAAGUUCAAGAAAGCUGCAUGACUCUGGAAGACCUCACGUGAGUCCUGGGUAGCCAGGACCAGCAGAGGAAACUCCCACUCAGGGACACACUGUGGGACAGAAUGCAGCAGCUGCCUAAAGACCAAUGCUCAGCGAUUUCUGCUUUUAGGGUCAUCAUUCACAGCUCCAGCGGGAAGCUUGGGAAUCAUAACCUUACAUCAGUGUCCAGGCUGUCAUUUCCAGGCUAAUUACCAGCCGGCUGCUGAGAGGACACUCAGAUGACCGCUUGGUGAACACAGGGCAAAGGGGAUCCCGUGGGAGAAGCUGAUCAAUGGGCUGUGAGCUCAGGGACCCAUCUGGACUCUGGGGCGUGGCCUCAGCUUGAUGAGGUAUACAGCCUGCCUCUGAUUGAAUUUCCUUGCACUUACUCUGAACUCAGGAGGAUCAGAAAGAUGUGAGUCGGUAGGACCAACACUCAGCUCCUCCCCAGCCUGGCUCUGAGACCCUCUGUGAACCCCAGUGUCCUUGCCUGGGACAAAUAGAUUCGCUGAUCUCCACUUUAUUGGGCCCUUCCGAAAAGUAAAUGAGACAAUGGCAAGGAGUAUUUAGUGGAGGCUGAAUCAGAAGCACAGGACUGGGGGAUUGGAUGAAUUUUAAAUGAGAUCUGGUCGGAUCUCCUGAGACUGUAAGUGAGGGAGCGGCAGCACGACAGGGGAAGAGAUUUCCUCGCUGGUUCCUGGAAGAGUGAGUCUCAGGACCCAAGUCUCCAAGCAGUCCAUCCUGAGCGUCCCGUCAGCUCUGCCUCGCUGAUAAAACGUCUAGCGAUGACAUUAAAACCCAACAUGUGUUGACUUUAUCCCGUGCCAAGUCCUUUUCACUCAUUAUCUUCAAUCCACAAACAACCCUGUGAAGCUGGUGGUAUUACUUCCCUUUUAUGGAUGAGGACACCUCGGUUCAGAGUAGGGCAACUUGCUCAAGAUUAUGCAGCUAACUGCUGGCCGUAGAAGAUUGGAACACCACUGGCAUCCACAAUGAUGCUGGCGUCUGUUACCCAAUCAGGCCUCCCCCGUAAGAAUCCAUACUGCCUCCCAAUCCUCAGUAGUAAUGGGAGUUUUACUUCACUCUCCAAACAGGUAUCACACGUUGUAGUAGUUAGAGUUCAUGUAUAUAGAGGAAAACAAAUGUAUUAUGUGUUUAAAUAAUGCAUUUAAAAAUGAAUGUUAUUACAUGUUUCUUUUUCAAAGACAUUUUUAUUUUAUGUUGAUAGUUUUCCCAGCUUUGUGGCCCAUGACAGAAAAGAGAAGUAAAGAAGAUGCGUGCGCGUGCACGCGCGCACACACACACACACACAAAUUUCUCCUUGUUACUCUCCCCUUUAAAAAAAACUAACUUGUUCCUUCCCCAAAAUAUUUAUACUUUAAUUAAAGUGGCCUAAGGCAAAACUAAUUUUCACGAGAGAUUACUCUUCACUGAUCUCCAAUUAUAGGCAGUUGCUAUAGUUACACCUGAAUUAAGCGAGAUACAUGAUAUAAUAACUUCACAAUGUAGAACUUCUCCCAGAAAUGUGUUGCCUACUUCCACCAUCUAUUGGGUAAGUUGAAAGGCUUUUCAAGGCUCCCUAUUCCAAAUUGGCUUCAAGAAAGGUUUAAUGGCAGGGAAAGGGAGGGGUCAAAGGGAAGAUCAAGAGUUUUUUACAGUGGUGGUGUGCUUCUGUGCCGUCACUGUGUAUUUUGUGAAGACACUGAAUAAAGCAGUGACUCUUUAACAAAAUCUAUGAAUUAGGCCCCUUAGUUAGUGUCAACCUAAACUUCUGCCAGGGCUGAAGUGGUGGGGGAUGGUUCCUACUAGGUAGAACUUGAAAGCUCUGUGAGAGACAUGUGUAUAGUAUAUAUUUAUUUAAUAGUUUCAAGUGCGGACAAGACCACGAAUAAUGUUUAUUUUCAUAAAGAAAACUGUUAAAAGGAUGACAACGACAAAAUUGCAUGUGGCAAUGACUUGUAUUUUUUUUUUUAAUUCCCCAAUGGCCUUGUUUAGUAUGGAGAAUGUUGAAAACCACACAUCAACUAUUGGCAGGUAAACACCAAAAAGGUUUUCUUGGGUAUUGAAAAAUGUUGACUACGAGACAGAAUCAAAGAUAUGGCUAUUUUUCUUCUUUUUAACUUAGUUCAUAAUUUUAUUAUUAAAUAAAUAGCCAACAAUAGA
Molecule: long non-coding RNA, 2312 nt
Organism: Macaca mulatta (Rhesus monkey)
Lineage: Eukaryota; Metazoa; Chordata; Mammalia; Primates; Cercopithecidae
Source: RefSeq, a predicted model, not a curated record